UGAAUACGAGACGCUAAGGCGUCGAAGUAGUGUAUGUCAUACUUCCAAGAAAAGCUUGCACUGUCAUAGAUAAAAAACGCCUGUACCAUAACCGACACAGGUGGGUAGGUAGAGUAUACUAAGGGGCGCGAGAUAACUCUCUCUAAGGAACUCGGCAAAAUAACUCCGUAACUUCGGGAGAAGGAGUGCCUUAUUCGUAAGGUUGCAAUAACAAGAUCCAAGCAACUGUUUAUCAAAAACACAGGUCUCCGCUAAGUCGUAAGACGAUGUAUGGGGGCUGACGCCUGCCCAGUGCCAGAAGGUUAAAGAAGUUGGUUAGCAAUUGCGAAGCUGAUAACUGAAGCCCUGGUGAACGGCGGCCGUAACAAUAACGGUCCUAAGGUAGCGAAAUUCCUUGUCGGGUAAGUUCCGACCCGCACGAAAGGCGUAAUGAUUUGGAUACUGUCUCGGAGAGGGGCUCGGUGAAAUAGACUUGUCUGUGAAGAUGCGGACUACCUGCACCAGGACAGAAAGACCCUAUGAAGCUUUACUGUAACUUGAAAUUGAAAUUGGACUUUAUUCGCGCAGUAUAGGUGGGAGGCGUUGAUUAUAAUCUUGUGGGAUUAUUGGAGCCAUCAGUGAGAUACCACUCUUGUAAUGUUAGAUUUCUAACUUUGAAUCAUUAUCUGGUCAAAGAACAGUUUCAGGCGGGCAGUUUGACUGGGGCGGUCGCCUCCUAGACGGUAACGGAGGCGUACAAAGGUUUCCUCUGAACGGUUAGAAAUCGUAUCUAGAGUGUAAAGGCAUAAGGAAGCUUGACUGUGAGACCUACAAGUCGAGCAGGGACGAAAGUCGGUCUUAGUGAUCUGACGGUACUGAGUGGAAAGGCCGUCACUCAACGGAUAAAAGUUACUCUAGGAUAACAGGCUGAUCUCCCCCAAGAGUUCACAUCGACGGGGAGGUUUGGCACCUCGAUGUCGGCUCAUCGCAUCCUGGGGCGGUAGUACGUCCCAAGGGUUGGGCUGUUCGCCCAUGAAAGCGGUACGCGAGCUGGGUUCAGAACGUCGUGAGACAGUUCGGUCCAUAUUCGGUGUAGGCGUUAGAAUAUUGAGAGGAGCCUUCUUUAGUACGAGAGGACCGAGAAGGACAUACCUCUGGUGUACCAGUUAUCGUGCCAACGGUAAACGCUGGGUAGCUAUGUAUGGAGUGGAUAACCGCUGAAAGCAUCUAAGUGGGAAGCCCACCUCAAGAUAAGUA
RNAcentral lists this ribosomal RNA (1236 nucleotides) under metagenome. Its description in RNAcentral is "bacterial LSU rRNA". It matches the Rfam family "Bacterial large subunit ribosomal RNA", at positions 1564 to 2810 of the family's 2925-position model. The record is from RNAcentral.